Long non-coding RNA from Vespa velutina, 8812 nucleotides. RefSeq lists it as uncharacterized. The record is from RefSeq and is a predicted model, not a curated record. The transcript has 2 exons. Lineage: Eukaryota; Metazoa; Arthropoda; Insecta; Hymenoptera; Vespidae.
GGGGAGGGAAGGGGAAGCAAUCAAUGAUUAUUUAUACGUUGUAGACGCAUCUGGAUAAUUCGUCUUGAAUGAUGAAAUAAUCGCAAGUGCAAGUUCUUAAAAAAAAAAAAAUAAAAAUAAAAAAAUAAUUACUUCAAAAAUAAAAAGCUCCAAAGAAAAAUCAUGACUCAUUUGGUCAAUGAGUUCAUUUCUUAUUUUUAUCGUCCAGCUUAUUAGAUUUAUUGGCUCGUUUUAUUCCUUUUUUUUUUCUUUCCUUUCUUAUCGUGCAUCCAACGAAUUCUCAAGAGUAAAUAUUUCGUUCAGUGAUAUACGACAUUCGCGAUUUGAGAGAAAGUUUUACAUAUAAAUAGUCAAGGGUGCGUUCGUACGUGCGCAAUAUAAUAAUAACGUAAUAAUAACAAAAUCCAAUGAAUAGAUUAGGUAACAACGUUCGGAAUACUUCAUAUUAAGAUUUGACAUGAAGAUCUGACAUGAAAAUCUGACAUGAAGAUCUGACAUUAAACUGAAAUCCAUCUUGUUUUUUUACUAUUAGAUGAUAAGAAAAGAAAAAAAAAAAAAGAUUAGAAUUUUCAGCGAUAGAUAGAUAGCUUCAUUCAUUCGUCGUUAAUAUUUCGUACUUAAACGAUAUUGUUUUGCUCAUUGAAUAAAUAUAUAAAUUAUUAAAUAAAUAAAUAAAUGGACAUUAUUGGAUAUUAAUUUUUAAAAGUUAUUUUUACUUGAAAAACUAAAACCUUUAAAUCUUUCUGAAGAUAAUUUCUUCUUUUUUUUUUUUUUUUCUUCUUUAAUUUUAUAACAUUUUACAGGCUUCCCCCGCCCUCCUCCCUACUUUAGGCAUGUUCUGUGUGAUUAAACGAAUAUAUCCUUCCAGGUAUUAUCUAAGUAAUUUGCUACUGCUUCCUUACCUUGUAAGGUAUUCUAUCCCCUUCCAUAACGACAUGCGCGUUAUGAACGUACUUCUUAACGUUUCAAACUUCCGUAGUUUAAUUUCAUCGCUUGAAGAUGACACAUUACUGCAAAAGAAAAAGAAUAUUAAAAAAUACCAUAGCAAAUAAAAAUGACGACUAAAUGAUCGAAGAUUCCAAGCGUAAUACCCGUUGCUGAUAUAGUCCUCUUCUUUUGAAUGCAUACUGCCGUCUGUGAUGAGUAACUAACUUUGAUCGAUUUCGAACCCACGUUUUUAGCUUGAUUAAGUAUUGUCCCUUCUGAUAACAUUUUAAUAAUUAAAUGUAGGAGAGAACGUUUGGAAAUUGUUUUGAACUUUUUUAUAGGGAUACUUCACGUCUCGAACGUGUUCUAAAUUCUUUUUCCCAUAAUUGACUAUUGUAUGUGAAAAACAGGUGUAUGUUCCCAGUUGUUAAGUAAUUUAUUAUUACAUUGUUAAAAGAGUAUUUUAUCCUCUCCAAAAGGGACAUGCGCAUUAUGAACUCUCUUAUCGUUUCAUUCUCUCAUCACUUUACUUUUGUCUCUUGAAGAUAACGUAUAACUACGUUUAUAGAGCAUGUUGGUGCUUAACAUGUAAGCAUUAUUCUAUUGAGAUCUUGAAAAAUAAGUAUUAUUGUCAAUUUAAAAGUUUUAUGAAAAUUAUUUAAAUCUCCUUUACUUGCAAUAUUUUAUCUAAAACCAUUAUCACGUUUUCCAUUUUUUUACCUUUAUUACCUGUACAAUUAAACAGAUGUUUCUUUUCAAGUAUUAAGUAAACUAUCCUUGUCCCUUUAACAUUCUAUCAUACUUUACCUCUUCAACAAAAGUUAUGUGAAUUACUUUGUUUUCUUGCUAUACACUUUUGUCUUUUGAAGAUAACAUAUGUAUUACUCUUUUGAAAUAGAAUAUGGCUACAUGACGCAUUAGCAUUCUAUUCUUAUCAUUUGUAAUGUAACAAAUGAAUAAGUAUAAUUAUUCAAUGUUAAUAUUAUGUACAAUUGUUUAUUCCUUCAUGGAAUUACCUUGAAUGUAUAGAUUUGUAUGAUUUCUAAGACAACAGUCAUCAGAAGGAUUCUGUUCAAAUUCUGUUUUCAAAAGAAUAUCUUUGCAAGUGUAGAUUCAGUAUAAUUUUGUUUUAUUACCAUUUGUACUAUCAUUGUGUACACAUACAUGACGUAUAUCAGAAUUAUAACUUAACAAACAUUUGAAAUAAAAUCACAAGAUUGCCUCUAGCAGAAUUUUUCUUUUCUGCAGGUUUUCUUUUUUAACAGAUAUUUUUCUAAGUAAUAACAAAUCCCAUCAUUGUAAGAAAAUGUUAUAUAACAAUAAAUCUAAACAUGGAUAUAUAUAAUGAAAAAGGAUACAGUAAGAUUUUUUAUUUAUGAAUAUUACUAAAUAAUGUAUAUAAACGAAGGAUUUGCAUCAAUUCAGUAUUUGCAGACAAAAAAGCAAGAAUUUCUGUAUUUUUAUAACGCAGUGUAAGAUAUGAUCAUAUAUCAAUUUUAAUUUGUUAAAGUCAUUGCAAGUUAAAAAAUACCAUAGCAAAUGAAAAUGAUUUCUGCAUUAACUGCAAAACUAAAUCUCUAUUGAUAUAGAAUUUUUCAAAAAUCAUUAAUUAUAUACAGAAAAAUUUUGUUACCUUGGCAAAAGUAUUGUGUGAUACUACGACCAGUCCUCUUAAAGAAAGAUAACAUGGUCUCGUGGUUUUCAUUAUCAAUAGAAGUAAUAUUUUUUGCGUUUUCAAUGAUAAUAAAUAAAAGGGGAUUUGACAUCUAGGAAAAUUAAUUACUCAUAAAUAUCUAAGAAAAUGGAUUAGAAAAUUGAAUAUACUAUAAAUACUUACAACUGAAUGAAGAAAUCAGCGUGCUCAUCUAUUAAUUUCUGUCCCAGAUAAAAGUAAGCAUAUAUUACGAGCAGAGAUCCAAUGACAUAACAGAAUUUUGUUAUUCCUUCAUUCGCAUUUAGGGUAAAACAAAGUAUCUGAAAUAACUAAUAACAAAUUUCUACGUUUUGUACCCCAAUACGAUAUGUUUGAAAUUUUUAAUUUACAAUAAAUUUAUUACUUACGUAGAAAUAAUCUACCAUAAUUAAAAUCGACGCGAAGAAUCCUUCGAAUAUAUAAAUUGUCUCAUAAAGCAAUUUUAUUAAAUCGACAAAACUGGAGAAGUAAAAGAAAUAUUGUAAUAUUAAUAUUAGCAAUUUGCACAUAUAAUACGAAUUUGCAAUAAUAUCUUUAUAAAACUAGAUACCAACUUAAGUGCGUUAUUGUAUAAUUCUAUUGUAUCAACGAUCCACUCGUUUUCCUCUUUAAGAGUAAACGGACGAUAGUUGUUACAUGGUUGUUUUUUAAAAUACUCAUUUACUCUCCAUCUGUAAUAAUCAGCAAUUCUGUUAAUUAAAUAUUCAGAAAAAAUUGUAUACUGAAAAUUAUUAUGUUACAUAGUAAAAUAUAUCAUUAUUAUUGAUUUCUUACUGGAUGAUAUUAAACAGUGCACAGGCAUGCUGUAUAAUUGCUAUGAACAUUGAGUAAUUAGCUACUCCUAUCAUGCAGACAAUGCACAUGCCUAUGUAUUCGUACAAAAGUGCAAUAAAGUAAAACAAUUGAUUUUUCAUAAAAUAUUCAGCACGAACUGGUAGUAUUAAUUCAGUUUCAUUUAUUACACCAAAAAUGUAUUGAAAGAUACGUAACAAGGAUGGAAACAUCAGUAAAACGAUAUACAUGUAAAAACUGACUGAAAGAGUAAAGGUAAUAAUAUAGUUUUAGUAAUUGUAGCUUAAUGGAUUUGUAAUACUAUUGUAAUGUAUAUUUAUUUUUCUCACUUGCGAUUAUAAUAGUAGAUUGUCUGCUUAUAUUUGCAUAUUUUUUUAGUAUCAUUAUCUCCGGCUUAUCUGCAAAAUCUACCCAAUCACAUUUGAUAUGAUGCAAAAUUUUCUUAAUCUGAAAGUUGUACGAUAAAUUAUCUAUUCUAACACACGUGUAUAUAAUUUAUAAUUGCAAAAUGUAUUUGUAACAAUUAUAUUAAUACAAUUGUAGUUUUCGACAAUAGAUUGCAAUAGCAAGAUCCGAAGCAUAAAGUAGGCAGAGUUGUUUCCAAUGAUUUGGUGAUCACAUUUAUGUUUGAUUCUGACGUGAAAAGCAUAUAAAUCUAAAUCACAAUCCGUUUAUUAGUAAUAUAUAAAGAAAUAGUCAUUUAAAUUCUUGAGAUAAUAUCAUUUUUUUCGUUAAUAAUUAUAUGGAAUAUUUAAUCAUUAAUAAGAAUUAUGAUUACCUGCGGAAAUAAUGCGAUGGCUAAUAUGAUCUUUAUAAAAUAAACAUAAAUUAGUUGCUUCAACGAUGCCUGAUAUUCACAUAGACCGAUUAAUCUAAAAAAUUGAAGAUUACGAGCGUAAUACUCGUUGUUGAUAUAGUCCUCUUCUUUCGAAUGCAUACUGCCGUCUGUGGUGACUAACUAACUUCGAUCGACUUCGAACCCACCUUCGUUACUUGAUUAAGUAUUCUAAUUAUCCCUUCUGGUAACAUGUUAAUAAUUCAAUGUUAGGAAGAACGUUUGGAAGUUGUAUCGAACCGAUAAAAAGGAUUUUCUUAUAGCGAUUCUUCAUAUAAAAUCUAUGUUUUCCUCCCUAUUGUCGAUAAUUGUAUGCGUAAAACAGAUGUAUGUUCCCAACUAUUAAGUAAUUUGAUGCUGCUUUUUACAUACCAGGAUAUUUUGUCCCCACCACAAAGGACAUGCGCGUUACGAUCUGACUUUUUCUUACCUUUUCAUUCUCUCGCAGUUUAAUUUUAUCGCUUGAAGAUGACACAUCUAAUACUAAAAUACCAAAUAUAAGUAUUUUACAAGUGAGUAAUAUCCCUUAAUAUUUAUUGGAUUAUAUGUUAAUAAAAAUUUUCGUUUAGUAUUCAUAUGUCAACAUUUGUUUAUUUCUCCCCGUAAAAUAUUUUUAUUUAUGUUCACAAAAACUUAUAUAUUUUUUUCAUACAUAUUUUUCUUUUCAUUUUUACUGUGAAUAUAGAAAUCGUUUGAACAUGAAAUGUUAUGAAUUAUAUUUUUGAUCUUUUUUAUUUUUAACUAUCCUCCAUUUAUGAUAAUUUGAAAUAUUACAAAUUGAAAUAGUUCUAAAAAUGUUUCUUAUUAAAUACGUUUGUUUUGCAAAGUAACAUCCACAACCGUUACAUGGAAACAUUUAAUUGUCAAUAUUCACUAAUUGACCCUUUUAUUGUGAUCUUAAAAAACAAGCAUUGUUGUUGAUUUAAAAGUUUUAUGAAAAUUAUUUAAAUCUCCUUUACUUGCAAUAUUUUAUCUAAAACCAUUAUCACGUUUUCCAUUUUUUUACCUUUAUUACCUGUACAAUUAAACAGAUGUUUCUUUUCAAGUAUUAAGUAAACUAUCCUUGUCCCUUUAACAUUCUAUCAUACUUUACCUCUUCAACAAAAGUUAUGUGAAUUACUUUGUUUUCUUGCUAUACACUUUUGUCUUUUGAAGAUAACAUAUGUAUUACUCUUUUGAAAUAGAAUAUGGCUACAUGAUGCAUUAGCAUUCUAUUCUUAUCAUUUGUAAUGUAACAAAUGAAUAAGAAUAAUUAUUCAAUGUUAAUAUUAUGUACAAUUGUUUAUUCCUUCAUAGAAUUACCUUGAAUGUAUAGAUUUGUAUGAUUUCUAACACAACAGCCAUCACAAAGAUUCUGUUAAAGUUCUGUUUUCAACAGAAUGUCUUUUGGGGUCUACGUUCAUUAUAAGAUAUACAUUAAUUAUUAUUUCUACUAUUAUUGUGUAGAUGCAAGUAACCAAUAUUAGGAUUAUUAUUUAGUGAACAUUUGAAAUGACAAGAUUGCCUAACAAGAUUGCAUAACAGAAUUUUUCUUUUUGCCAGAUUUUCUUUUUUGACAGAUAUUUUUCUAAUUAAUAGCAAACUCAAGAAUUCUAAGUAAAUACUAUAUGAUAACAAACAUGUAGUGGGAAAUAUAAAAUGAAAAAGGGUAAAAUAAGAUUUUUUAUUUUUGUAUAAUACUAAAUAGUGGAAAAUAAAAUUUACUUUUAAACGAAGAAUUUGCAUCAAUUUAAUAUUUGCAGAUUAUACCACAGAAAUUUCUACAUUUUUCUAAUGCUAUAUAAUGAAUUAUUAUACUAUAUUCUUAAUCGGUUAAAGUCAUUACAGUUUAAAACAUACCAUAGCAAAUGAAAAUGACGACUUCAUUAACUGCAAAAUUAAAUUUGUAUUGAUAUAAAGUUCUUCGAAAAUCGUUAUCAGUACAGCUGCAGAAUCUAUAUCUGCAGAACGUUGUUCUGUACAUCUGCAGAAAAUAUGUUACCUUCGCAAAAGUAUAGUGAGAUACUACGACUAUUCCCCUUAUAGAAAGAUAACAUGGUCUCAUGGUUUUCAUGAUCAGUAGAAGUAAUAUUUUUUGCGUUUUCAAUGAUAACAAAUAAAACGGGAUUUGACAUCUAGAAAAAUUAAUUAUUCAUAAAUAUUUAAGAGAAUAUUAAAGAAAAUUAUAAAUAUAUAUAUAUAAUAUACUACAAAUAUUUACAACUGAAUAAAUAAAUCAGUGUGCUCAUCUAUUAAUUUCUGUCCCAGAUAAAAGUAAGCAUAUAUUACGAGCAGAGAUCCAAUGACAUAACAGAAUUUUGUUAUUCCUUCAUUCGCAUUUAGGGUAAAACAAAGUAUCUGAAAUAACUAAAAACAAAUUUCUAUGUUUUGUACUUCGAUAUGAUAUUUUUGAAAUUUUUCAUUUACGACAUAUAUGUUACUUACGUAAAUAUAAUCUACAAUAAUUAAAAUUGACGCGAAGAAUCCUUCGAAUAUAUAAAUUGUCUCAUAAAGCAAUUUUAUUAAAUCGACAAAACUGGAGAAGUAAAAGAAAUAUUGUAAUAUUAAUAUUAGGAAUUUGCACAUAUAAUACGAAUUUGCAAUAAUAUCUUUAUAAAAUUAGAUACCAACUUAAGUGCGUUAUUGUAUAAUUCUAUUGUAUCAACGAUCCACUCGUUUUCAUCUUUAAGAGUAAACGGACGAUAGUUGUUACAUGGUUGUUUUUUAAAAUACUCAUUUACUUUCCAUCUGUAAUAAUCAGCAAUUCUGUUAAUUAAAUAUUCAGAAAAAAUUAUAUACUGAAAAUUAUUAUGUUGCAUAGUAAAAUAUAUCAUUAUUAUUGAUUGCUUACUCGAUAAUAUUAAACAGUGCACAGGCAUGCUGUAUAAUUGCUAUGAACAUUGAGUAGUUAGCUACUCCCAUCAUGCAGACAAUGCACAGAGCUAUGUAUUCGUACAAAAGUGUAGUAAAGUAAAACAAUUGAUUUUUCAUAAAAUAUUCAUCACGAACUGGUAAUAUUAAUUCAGUUUCAUUUAUUACACCAAGAAUAUAUUGAAAGAUACGUAAUAAAGAUGGAAAUAUUAAUAAGAUAAUAUAGGUGUAAAAACUAACUGAAAUAGUAAAGGCUCCAAUGUAGAUUCUAUAAGUGCAACUUAAUGAAUUUCUAAUACUUUUACUAUGCUUAUUUUCUUUUACUCACUUGCGAUUAUGAUAGUAGAUUGUCUGCUUACAUUCGCAUAUUUUUUUAGUAUUAUUAACUCCGGCUUGUCUGCAAGAUCUAUCCAAUCACAAUUAAUACGACACAUAAUUUUCUUCAUCUAAAAGUUAUACCAUAAAUUAAUUAUUAUAAUACACAAGUAUGUCGUUUAUAAUUAUUAAAAAAUACUUUGAACGAAUUUCGGACAAUUGCAUUCUUCAACAAUAGGUUCCAGUAGCAAGAUCCGAAGCAUAGAGUAGGCAAGAUAGUUUCCAAUAAUUUGGUGAGCAAAUUUAUUUUUGGUUCUGAUGUGAAAAACAUAUAAAUCUAGAGUACAAUUAGUUAAUCUAAUAAGUAAGCAGUCAUUUAUAUUGUACUUUGAAAAAAUCUUUUUUUUUUCAUAAAUUAUAUGAAAUAUUUAUUCAUUAAUCAGAAAAGUUACCAAUCGACUUAAUCCUAGGAGUAUUACAAUAUUUAUAGAACAAAUGUAAAUCUGUUGUUUCAACGAUGAGUUGUAUUCCCAUAGACCGAUUAAUCUAAAUAAUCGAAGAUUCCAAGCGUAAUACCCGUUGCUGAUAUAGUCCUCUUCUUUUGAAUGCAUACUGCCGUCUGUGAUGAGUAACUAACUUUGAUCGAUUUCGAACCCACGUUUUUACCUUGAUUAAGUAUUGUCCCUUCUGGUAACAUUUUAAUAAUUAUAUAUAGGAGAGAACGUUUGGAAAUUAUCUCGAAUUGUAAGAAGACUUUUUUUAAUAGCGUUAGCUUAUGUAAAAUUUUUAUCGUGUUGUAAGAUUUUACACACAUUAUCGCAAUUGUAUAUUUCAAACAAGUGUUUGUUCCCAGUUAUUAAGUAAUUAGUUGUUGCGUCUUUAGAUAGUAGGACAUUUUAUCCCCACCCCCCAGCCCCUCUACAAAGGACAUGCGCAUUAUGAUCGUAUUCCUUCUGACCUUCUCAUUCUCUCGCAGUUUAAUUUUAUCGCUCGAAGAUGAUACAUCUACUAUUGAAAUUAACGAUCUUCAGUGUUUUAAGUGUGAAUAAUAUUCGUUAAUAUUUAUUGGAUUAUAUCUUAACAAGUUAGUAGCUUGAAAUAUAUACCUGUUUAAUACAUACAAUUGCUGCCAAUUUAAGCAACUGUGCUUUUGCGUCUUUACGUAGUAGGAUAUUUUAUGCUCUCCACAAAGGACAUCCACGUUACAAACUUGCUCCUUAUUAUUGUCUAAUUCUAUCAGUAAUUCGCUCUCAUCACCUCGAAGAUAAUUCAUUACUUUAAGAAAAAGAAGAUUUUGUGUUUUACAUGUAAGUUUAAAUAUUGUGAAGUAUACUAUAGGAUUGACGUAAGUAAGUUAAUAUUAUAUAAAAAUAGAAUGAUUAUAAAACGAUUACUCUGGU